This 341-nucleotide ribosomal RNA is filed under the name uncultured bacterium. RNAcentral describes it as "bacterial SSU rRNA". It matches the Rfam family "Bacterial small subunit ribosomal RNA", at positions 30 to 372 of the family's 1533-position model. The record is from RNAcentral.
AUUGAACGCUGGCGGCAUGCCUUACACAUGCAAGUCGAACGGCAGCACGGGAGCAAUCCUGGUGGCGAGUGGCGAACGGGUGAGUAAUAUAUCGGAACGUGCCCAGUCGUGGGGGAUAACGUAGCGAAAGCUACGCUAAUACCGCAUACGAUCUAUAGAUGAAAGCGGGGGAUCGCAAGACCUCGCGCGAUUGGAGCGGCCGAUAUCAGAUUAGGUAGUUGGUGAGGUAAGGACUCACCAAGCCGACGAUCUGUAGCUGGUCUGAGAGGACGACCAGCCACACUGGGACUGAGGCAGGCCCAGACUCCUACGGGAGGCAGCAGUGGGGAAUUUUGGACAAU